This 599-nucleotide ribosomal RNA is filed under the name uncultured archaeon. RNAcentral describes it as "bacterial SSU rRNA". It matches the Rfam family "Archaeal small subunit ribosomal RNA", at positions 1 to 598 of the family's 1478-position model. The record is from RNAcentral.
UUCGCCCUUUUCCGGUUGAUCCUGCCGGACCUGACUGCUAUCGGAUUGAUACUAAGCCAUGCGAGUCAUUGUAGCAAUACGAGGCAGACGGCUCAGUAACGCGUAGUCAACCUAACCUAUGGACGGGAAUAACCUCGGGAAACUGAGAAUAAUGCCCGAUAGAACACUAUACCUGGAAUGGUUUGUGUUCCAAAUGAUUUAUCGCCGUAGGAUGGGACUGCGGCCUAUCAGUUUGUUGGUGAGGUAAUGGCCCACCAAGACUAUUACAGGUACGGGCUCUGAGAGGAGUAGCCCGGAGAUGGGUACUGAGACACGGACCCAGGCCCUAUGGGGCGCGGCAGGCGAGAAAACUUUGCAAUGUGCGAAAGCACGACAAGGUUAAUCCGAGUGGUUUCUGCUAAAGGAACCUUUUGUUAGUCCUAGAAACACUAACGAAUAAGGGGUGGGCAAGUUCUGGUGUCAGCCGCCGCGGUAAAACCAGCACCUCAAGUGGUCAGGAUGAUUAUUGGGCCUAAAGCAUCCGUAGCCGGCUCUGUAAGUUUUCGGUUAAAUCUGUACGCUCAACGUACAGGCUGCCGGGAAUACUGCAGAGCUAGGGA